GUAGUUGUGGCCGAGUGGUUAAGGCGAUGGGCUAGAAAUCCAUUGGGGUCUUCCCUCAUGCAGGUUCAAAUCCUGCUAACUGCG
Molecule: non-coding RNA, 84 nt
Organism: Gopherus flavomarginatus (Mexican gopher tortoise)
Lineage: Eukaryota; Metazoa; Chordata; Testudines; Testudinidae
Source: the annotation of a RefSeq genome assembly